UGUUCUGAAUUUCUUGGAGUGGGUCUAAGGGCUUCCCUGUUCACAUGUGUGUCUGUUCAUUGGGAUUAUAUUUUCCUUUCAUUUGGUGAGUUGGACAAAAAGAAUUGUUGAUCUUAAUUUAUCUUAAUUUGUUUGCAAAAAAUCAAAUUAAAAUAAUAGAACAAUAAAAAUAGAAAACAAAUAAAAAUAACAGUGCUUAGAUUGGUUGGUUCUUGGCAUUGCUUCGUCUCUACCUCCCUAGUUUAGUCCUCACCAUCUACUUGAUGUCUUUUUGUGUUGUUGUUCUUGUCCUUUCAAAUCCUUGAGCUGCCCCACGCACAGUUAUUCGUUCUCAUUCUCACUUUUGCUAAUGCAGGAGUUUAGACCUAACCAUAGCAUUCAUGCGACCAUGUUUAAUCUAUCCGAGAUUGCUUGAGUUCUCUUUGCUUUUAUUUAAUUCAAAGAAGCUCUACCUUCUUCUCUUGAUGUAUGUUUUUUUUGAGUGUUGUUUAAUUUCUAUGAGUUUACAUGUGCAUAAGUGCUGGGAAUUCCUGUCCUGUUCAUUUUAGGAUCCAUUCCAGGGUAGGCACAUGGGAUGCAUGGAGUCCUUUCAAUGUUCCUAACUGGGUUAAGGUUUGUUUCAUAUUCCAGGAUGUGGUCUGUUUUAGGAAGAUCUCCUAGGCUGUUAUAUGUUUGCAAUCUUUGGCAUUUCAGGGGAAUGGCCAUAGAUAUCUCUUAGGCUCACUAGAUGUGUAGUGUCCAUUAUUUCUGUUAUUUUUAUGUUUCUUGUGCAGAGGACCAGUCUACUGGAGAAAGUGUGGUAAUGACAUCAUCAGUUGUUGGUGCAUUGGAGUUAAUCUGUGCCUUUUAAAGUCCAAUCUAAUUUUUAUGAAGUUGGGUUGCACAGUUUGGAACAUAUAUGCUAUACGAAUUGUCCUUCCUCAUCUCUUGGCCUUGUUGUUUGUUUGUAUCUUAGUUUAAAGUCUACUUUCUUAGGUACCAGGAUAGUAAUACCUGCUUAGUUCCUGGUCUCACCUGCCUCAAAUAGUCUUUCCACUCCUUCACUGUAUGCUAGUGAAGGUAAGACGAAGUUCUGUAUAUCCGAGAACUGAAUUCUGUUUAUCAGUUCAUUCAGUUAAAGUGUGUCUUUGGAUUAGGGUGCUGAUGUCAUUAAUAUUAUUGACAGAUAUGUGUUAACUGUUGUCAUCUGUUGGGUAUCGCUUUGUGUAUUACUUGUCUGUUUUGUGCUGUAAUAUCGAUGGCUUCGUAUGUCCGUGUUUUUACAGUGUCUUUGCUGUGCUUCCUCCUCUCUCCUGUCCACAGUUGUUCCCAGUGUCCACUGUGAGACCCACUGCUCAUCGUGUGUUUUAGCCUGUGUGCAUUGGAACAAGUCGUUCUUCCUUUCCUUUUUAUUUCUUGAUUUGGUUUUUUGGGGGGAGGGGAAUUUUUGUUCUUUUUUUAAUUGGGUAAUUUUUAUUUACAUUUAAAAUGCUAUCCCUUUCCCCCCACCCAACCACCCACCCCCUCUCGCCACCACACCCUGACAUUCGCCUACACUGGGAGGUCAAGCCUUGGCAGGAACAAGGUCUUCUCCUCCAUUUGGUGCCCAACAAGGCCAUCCUCUGCUACAUAUGCAGCUGGAGCCAUGGUUCUGUCCAUGAGUACUCUCUGAGUAGUGGUUUAAUCCCUGGGAGCUCUGGUUUGGGUGGUUGUUCUUAUGGGGUUGCAACUCCCUUCAGCUCCUUCAAUCCUUUCUCUAACUCCUCCAAUGGAGACCCUGUUCUGAGUUCAAUGGUUUGCUGUGAGCAUUCUCCUCUGUAUUUGUCAUGCUCUGGCAGAGUCUCUCAGGAGACAGCUAUAUCAGGCUCUUGUCAGCAUGCACUUCUUGGCAUCAGCAAUAUUGUCUAUGUUUGGUGACUGUAUAUGGGAUGGAUCCCCAGGUGGGGAAGUCUCUGGAUGGUCUUUCCUUCAGUGUCUGCUCCACACUUUGUCUCUGUAUCUCCUCCUACAAAUAUCUUUAUGCCCCCUUUAAGAAGGACUGAAGCAUUCCCACUUUGGUUGUCCUUCUUCUUGAGCUUCAUGUGGUCUGUGGAUUGGAUCUUGGGUAAUCCAAGCUUUUGGGUAAUAUCCACUUAUCAGUGAGUGCAUACCAUGUGUGGGUUUUUUUGUUUGUUUGUUUGUUUUGUGUCUGGGUUAACCUCACUUAGGGUGAUAUUUUCUAGUUCCAUCCAUUUGCCUAUGAAUUCAUGAAGUCAUUGUUUUUAAUAGCUGAGUAGUACUCCAUUGUGUAGAUAGAUGUACCAUAUUUUCUGUAUCCAUUCCUCUGUUGAGGUACAACUGGGUUCUUUCCAGCUUCUGGCUAUUAGAAAUAAGGCUGCUAUGAACAGAGCGGAGCACAGUUUCCUAGCUACUUUCGUCCAGACUGGCAGUAGCCAUCUUUUAGAUAUUAAAGGAUAUCUCUCAGGUUCUUCUGGAUUUUAAGGUUUCCAUUAACAAGUUGGUUGUCAUUCUGAGGGGUUUUCUUUCAUGUGUCACUUGUGACAUUUUUUUCCUCCCUCAACUUUCAGUAUUCUCUUGUUAUUCUGUGCCAGAGUCUUUUACAAGUAAUGAGCAACAGGGUGUUUGUUUCUUGUUCUCUCCCUUUGCUAUAUAAAGUUUUUCAGUUAUCUGGGUGGGUGUGUCUUUUCUCACUUUAAGUAUCUCUUUCUAUGAUCCUGUUAAUGAUCUGAUCAAAGCCUGAGAUCCUUUUGCUUCUGUUAUACCCUCCACUCAAGCCUCUGGGCUUUCGUGGUGCCACAGACUUCCAUUAUGUCCCUUGACUGUCUUUAUUUUCCUUUCCUGUGCUUUGCAAGUGUGCUUCACUUUCUCUGUUCUAUAUUCACGUCCUGAUAUUGUGCCCUGCCCAUGACCCAUUCAACGAGUAAUGAUUUUCCCUGCAUUUCCUACUCAGUUACUGAGUUCAGUUUGAUCUUCAGAUGAGGAGAGGCGCUUUCAGGGUCACAUCUUCAUUUCUGCUUAAGUUCUCUUCACUAUUUCUCUCCCUUCACUGUACUCAGGUUUCAAAUCUUAGUUUUUCAUUGCCAUUUCAUUUACCUGUAUAUUUUUUAGACAUCACUCACACACUUGUUGCCUACUUUCAAUCCAUUGAGCUUUCCUUAUGUGAUCUUUAAACUCCUUGCCGUCUUUGAUAAUGUUUAUGAUUAUUUCCAACCUGUGUCCUUGGGUUGAUCUGGGUCCUAAUUGUCAUUGGAGGAAAAUUCUGUAAUAUUACUGCAUUCCGGGUUGGGUCUGCUGUUUUGGCUGUUCAUAUUGUGUGUGCUUCUGUGAUAUGAUCUCAGCCUGUGGACUUCUUUCUUUUUCUGUGUGUCUGGUGUGAGAGUCUGGCCAGCUUCAGGCUGGACCAGUGCAGCAACUGUGUGAGCAGGACUAGUCGUGUGUGACAUUUGGAGAUGGUACAGGUGGGUUCUUUGUGGUAAUCUCACUAAGGAAAUUCAGAAGAUACACUUAGUGUAGCUUGACAGUGUAGACCUAGUGUGGGCUGGCUUGGUUCCCAUGGGACUCACCAGGUAAAGCCUGUGCAGGAGGUGUCUGUCUAGAGCUAGGCAUAGGAGAAUGUGGAUGUCAUGGGGAGGCUCUUAGACAUUCAUGUUCUGUAUGUAAACAAGAGAGUAUGUGAAUUAACAGAUAUAUCCAUUUCCUUGAUUCCUCCAUGCAUAUCUAAGCAGCUCCAGGCAGGAGGAAUGUUUGAAGGAAUUAAGAAAGUUCUACUCCUUUCUCUUUCUUGAUUCAUAAUACCUUUUAAACCAAUGAUCUGAAAAACCCACCAUUCUCUUAAAACUGUUUUAUAAAGUAAUGUCCCUGGGAUGGUGGAAAGGAGUGGGGCACAUCAGACCACAGCCAGAUACUGCAGCCUGGACAGAACGUUAUCCAGCACUGAUCAAGAAGAUUUUAAAUGUUAUUCACUAGAACCGUUUUUUUAAAAGAUUUAAAGACAGCUGCUGAAAAGAUUUCCUUUUUCUCUUGUGAUAGUUCGUAUAUGCUUGGGCCAGGGAGUGGUACUAUGAGGAGGUGUGGCCUUGUUGGAGUAGAUGUGUCACUGUGGCUGUGAGAUAUAUUACCCUAAUCCUAGCUGCCUGAAAGGGAGUCUUAGAGUAGGAGCCUUCAGAUGAAGACUUAGAAUUCUCAGCUCUUCCUGAACCCUGCCUGCCUGGAUGCUACCAUACUCCUGCCUUGAAUAUGAUGACUUGAACUUCUGAAUCUGUAAGCCAACCCCAAUUAAAUGUUGUUCUUGUAAGAGCUGCCUUGGUCAUGAUGUCUGUCCACAGCAGUAAACCCCUACUAAGAGUUCACCCAUUCAGCCACAGAUAUUAGAAAAUUUAUAAAAGUUUUUAAAUUUUCAAAGAAAGGUAGGUCCCAGCUGCUUAAAGGGUGCUUAAAAACAGAGAACACUUGAGACAUCUUGUGCAUAAACUGAAGGCCACCAUCUCUUCUGAUGAUAAAUCAUGGUUAAACAUACAUACCCAGCAGAAUUUUGGUUUCAUAUCCUCUGUAAGGAGAAGCCAACCACUAGGACUGGCCCAACCCCAAGCUCCUAUAAUUGUUUAACUAACCCGUUCAACUACUUUCAUCCACAUUAAACAAGACCCCGUGGCCCUGGAAACAGAAGGAAAUAUUGCCAUCCUCCGUAUUGCCUGAAUGAACAGACAGACAUCCUGGUGCCCUGGGUGUCACCAUGGGACAAACUUCUGCUGCCUGUGAGGACCUGGAACCUCCAAAUCUUAUGGGUCUGAUUCAUCCAGAGAAAUAGGUACAGAUGGAUAUUUCUGCCUCUAGCAAGCCUAUUAUCGGUCAGCACAAAGGCUCGUACAGACUAGUACUGAGGAUGCAAUCGACCAGUACCAAGGCUACUGUAGAUCAGGAGAAAGGCUACUACAGUUCAGCACAAGGCUGCUGACCUGGAUGCCUGACAAACAGCCUACAACCAGUGGGACCUAUUGAUAUUCUGAUGACAAACCACAAAUUCGAUACUGCCUGAGACUCCAUGAUGAGGAAGAAAUGGACAGCUCAAACCCUCAGGUUAAGAUGGUGGCCAAAGAGGCACUGAAACCAACUGGGGAAGGUCCCUGUGAGUGAUUCUCUCCACUUGGAAGGCUGUGAAGACAGGUGGCCUUACAGCAUGGAUCCACCACACCCAGGUCAAGAAAUUGGAAAGCCACAGAAGGACACUGCUGCCAAAUCAACUGUCUCUGGACUAUGAGUGCAGCCACUGAAAUUAAGGUGGCAAGGAAUAUAAACUCUGCCAGAGACCUGCUCUUCUUCUUCUGCCAAUGAUUGCCAUCCCAGUUUAAAAAAAAAAAAGGGCCCUACCAGAUGACAGGUUUUAUGCCAGGUUUAUGUCCUGACUGGAACAGCCAUGCCACGUGCAGAAGACAGUGUUUCAAAGCACUCCUCUCCAUGUUCCUGCUCUCAGAAUCUGUCCACUUUUUCUUUCAUUGAUGUUCCUCAGGUUUAGAGAUGGCAAUACUGAUGUCCUGCUUAGGGUCGAGAGCUCAACAGUCACUUGUUUUCAACACAUCAACCAGAUGAACUAUCUAUGGGGUAUUGAAAUCACCUCUUGUUACUAAGUUGGGCAUAAUUUGGACCUUGACAUUCUAAUACUUUGAUUUUUAUGAAAAAACAGAGUCCAAAUAAUGCUUCCAGUAGUCUCUGUAGGACUGGAUUGCUGGGUAUGAGUUCUUUCAACCCGUUUACAUGGAGGAAAAGCAGGAAGAGGCAUCCAUGGUUUGAAGUGAGUUAAGAAACUGUGGGAAAAAGCAGUGUCCUGAGGAAGAUUUAGACUAAUCUUGGAAGUGAAACUCUGGACAUGUUUGUGAGGGGUUUUCUACUUUAGGUUAAUUGAACUGAGAAGACCUACCCUAAAUACGAGUGGUGCCAGUCCAUGGGCUGAUGUUCCAGAAUAAAACAAAGAAAAGGAGCUGAGCACCAGUAUUUAUCUUUAUCUCCUGACUGCGGAUAUCAGAGAUCCAUCUACCUCAAGUUCCUGAUGCUGCAUCUUUCCCACCAUGAUGGACUCUGUGAGCCAAAAUAAAUCCUUCUUUCCUUAAGUUGCUUUUGUUAGGUAUUUUGACAUAGCAAAAGACAAAAACAAAAACAAAGUGUUUCCUCUGAAAUAAACAAUAUAUUUGUACUGAGAUGUAUUAUUCUCUGAAAAUAACAAACAGCAAAGCAGAACACAUGACAGGGGAUCGGAGAAGACAGAUUAACAGGCAGAUUUAUUCUAAACAUGUUAUAUGAAUGUAUGAAAUUUUCAAACAAUAAAAAAUAAUUUUUUUAGCUUUCUUUUAUUUGUUCAUUAAUUUAUCCUGUAAUCAUGCACUGAUCAUAUAGUUUGUGUUAGGAAUUACAUGGAUGGAGGGGUUUCCCCGAGGAGCAAGUUUGUCCUGAUUUUACAGGGUGGAUUGUAUGUGGGAAGGAUGAAGUCCUUCUUGAUUCUCAUAUUCCCAGCCUCCAUUGGUGUCUGUAUAUUAGCAAAUGCAUGUAUAUACUGAGUCACCUUUAAGCUUUAAUUAUUUUGGUGUAACCUACAGUUGAUGAUUUCUGUUUUUAGUACUCAUAGUCCCUACUAAAGCCACAUAGAAAAUAUAACAUUCAAAGACAGUUUCCAGUAGAAAGCCCACGUUGGAAUCCAGUUAGCAGGAUGUGGUGUGUUGACUCAGCACAACCCAAACCAUUCUGUCUUCUACCCAGUGGGAAUAAAGGUAAUCUGAUCAAUAUGCAUUUGGCAAUUUAGCGCAUUGGUUUCAUUUCUCUAUAGGUCAUGGAGGGAGGCUUUUGUUGGUUUCUGGUAGCAUGAUGGCUCCUGAACCAAGUUUUAGAGCAGAGUUCCUUAAACAUUGACUUCUGAACAGUGCAGCUGGACAGCUGCAGACCUUGUGAGCAUCUGGGUCUGGGCUGGGGUUGACAUUCUAUAUUUCUCAAUGAUGAGGAUCCCCGGAGGCUCUAGAGCUUUGCACCAAUGAACAGACAAUAAACUAAACAAUAAAGACUUGUAGCACCUGAGAGCAGCUUUUGGCUUAUAAUAAUAGUCUUGAUCCUGUGGUGCACACGACUGUGACAGUAUAUUAGAGAAUACUCAUCUUGCUUUUUACAAUCUAUAAACACUGUGUAAAACAUAAGAUAUAAAUAGGAAAGUAGUCUUUGCUUCUUAUAUUACAGAGAUAUUCUCUUGUAUGUGAACCAGGCAGGGAGUAGAGAAUUAAUUUUGGUAAAGAGAAGUAAUUAGUAAUAACCCAUUAAGGCAAUGUCAAAUCUUUUUUUAAUAAUUAUUUUAAAAAAGAAAGUAAGUGACAAUUGCAGCCAGCUGACGCAGCCACUAUAUAAGUAACUGUGUAGAUGUCUCAAAACACUAAAAGUUAAAUGGCCAUAUGACCCAGCCAUAGCACUCUUAAGUGUGUAUAUAUAUAUAUAUAUAUAUAUAUAUAUAUAUAUAUAUAUAUCUCCAAAGGACUCAAAGAGAUACUUGCACAUCCACAUUAUUGCUGCUUACUCAUAAUAGCUAGGCAACGGAAUCAGCCUAAGUGUCCAUCAACAGACAAAGGAGCCAAGAAAAUAUAUUACAAGUAUACAUUGAUUUUUUUUGGUUCUUUUUUUCGGAGCUGGGGACCAAACCCAGGGCCUUGCGCUUCCUAGGUAAGCGCUCUACCACUGAGCUAAAUCCCCAGCCCCUAUACAUUGAUUUUUAAAUUAAUAUAUAUACUUUACAUCCUGAUCACAGCUGCCAUCCCUCCUCUCUGCCUAGUCCCUCCCUCUCACCUUCCCUCCCCUCAACCACCUCUCUCUCUCUCUCCUCAAAGAAGAGGAGGCCUCCCAUGGAUCCCAUCCUGAGUGAGGUAACCUAGAUGCAGAAAGAGAAGCAUGGUAUGUACUCACUUGUAAGUGGGCAUUAUCCAUAAAGCAAAGGAUAAUCAUGCUAUAAUCUACAGACCCAAGGAAGCUAAACAAGAAGGAUCUGAAGGAGGAUGCUUGAAUUUCACUGAGAAAUGGAAAUAAAAUAGACAUUGGGGGGUGGAUGGAGGGAGGAGACUGGAUGAGAGAGGGGAUGAGUAGGGAAACAAGAGGGAUCAAGUGUGAGAAGGACAGAGGAAAAGAGAACUAGAAUCAGUGGAGGUGGGGGCAUUUCUGGAACAAGCUAGAAGCCAGGAAAAUAGAAAUUUCAAGGAACCUAUGAAGGUGACCCUAGGUAAGACUCCUAGAAAUAGGAAAUAUGAAACUUGAAAUGGCCACCUCCUCUAACUAGGUAAGAUUUCCAGUGGAGCAAUGGGUCCCAACCCAGCCACCAAACCUUAAAUCCACAAUUUGUCCUGCCUACACUGAUUUUUUUAAAGCAGUAAACAAAAGUCAAAGGAAGAUAUUUGUGGAAAAGUAAUAGAACUCAAAACUUAAGAGAAUAAAAGACAAAUAACAUAUUUGUUCUCUCACUCACAUCCUAGAUUUUAAUUUUUUAUUCCAUUUGAUAUAUAUGUAUAAUUGUGGAUAUAGGCCGUGAAACUAGAAAGGAGACUAUGGGAGGAGGAGGGAUCUUAAGGGGGAGGAGAAAACAUAUAUUAAAACAGAACAGGAGUGUAGUCGUGGUUUGAAUAUGCUUGGCCCAUGGGAAGUGGCACUAUUAGGAGGUGCGGCCUUGUUGAAGUAGGUGUGACCUUGGUAGAGGAAGUGUGUCACUGUGUAGGCAGGCUUUGAGGUCUCCCAGGGUUGAAGCUUAGCCCAAGACCCAGAAGAGAAUCUGUCCUGGAUGCAUACAGGAAGCCAGACUCCCCCUGGCCUCCUUCAGAUGAAGAUGUAGAACUCUCAGCUCCUCCUGCACCGUGCCUGCCUGGAUGCUGCCAUGCUUCCCGCCCUGAUGAUAAUGGACUGAAUCUCUGAAUCUGUAAACCAGUCCAAAUUAAAUGUUGUCCUUUAUAAGAGUUGCCUUGGUUAUAGUGUCCCUUUAUAGCAAUGAAACCCUAAGGCAGGGAGCUAUUAGCAGGAGGAAGCUAAUUAGUGGAAGGGGGCUGCAUGAUGAGUAAAGAAGAAAGAGAAGAACAUGACACAAUGGUAACUUUGCAUAAAAUGCCCAAAUUGCUCUGGAAAGAUAGCAUAUGAAAGAACAACAAAGUAAGACAGCUGUGGAUAUAGCCAAUUAGUAAAAUAUUUGCUAGCAUAUAUGAGGCAUUGGUUUCAGUCACCAGCACCUCAUAAGAUGGGAAUGGUGGCACAUGCCCGUAAUCCCAGAACUUGGUAGGUGGAGGCAGAAGAAUCAAGAAGUCAAAGUCAUCCUCUUCAACACAGCAAGUUCAAGGAAAUAAUGGAUACAUGAAACUCUGCCUCAAAAGUAAAUUGACAGAGGCUGGAGAAAUAGCUCAGCACUUAAGAAUACCCCCCGGUCUUGUAAAGGACUCAGCUAAGGCUCCAAGAAUCUAUAUGGUGGCUCACAAAGCACUGGUUUGCAGACAAGAGUCUGGCAUGGCUGCCCUCUGAGAGGCUCUACCAGCAGUGGACUGAGACAGAUGCAGAUACUUAGAGCCAAACAGUGGACAGAGGUGGGGGACUCCUAAGAAAGAGUUAUGGGAAGGAUUGAAGGAAACUAAGGGGAUGGCAACCCCAUAGGAAGGAAAACAGUGUCAAUUAACCCAGACCCCUCAUAGCUACCAGAGAUGAACCACCAGCCAAAGAGCAUACAUGGGCUGGUCCAAGGUCCAUGCUGUAGCAGAGGACUGCUUUGUCUGGCCUCAGUGCGAGAGGAUACACCUAAUCUGGUAGAGACUUGAUGCCCCAGGAAAGGGGGAUGCCAAAGAGGGGCACCCUCUCAAAGGUGAAGGGGAGAGGGAAAGGGGGAAGAACUCUUCAAGGGUGAAUGGGAGGGGGACGACAUUUGGGAUGUAAAUAAAUAAAAUAUUUAAUUCAUAAUAAUUUUAAAAGAUGAGAGAAGUGUGUUUGAAUGUGGCCUGGUUUCUUUACUAUUUUUCUGUUUUGAGUUUCUAGGCAUAUCUUCCCUGGCUCCCUAAAAUCUGUUAUAGAACACCCUUGGGUCUUCCUUUGCAAGGUCAGGGAGAUUCUAACAAGAAUGUGCCUAUGUAUCUGAUCCAGCUAUUUUAACACUGGAAGAAGAAGUGGUGAAGUAGAAAAGAGUCAUAACGCACAAAACAGAUUUCACAAUAGAAGAUGGAGCUUUUGAAAAGAAGUGUCCCAGUUCCUCGUGCACUGGGUGAUUUCCAACAUCGGUGUCUUAUCGAUGGUGUUUCUGAACACGGGACCUGACAUCUACAUGGACUCUAUGGCCUUGCAGUUGCUUAUUAAAGCAGAUGUCUUGAAGUUUGUAAGGCACCUUUUUGUUCUCCCCUCUGUCUCACAAGGCUAUUUGCUGCCACCUUGUGCCUUCUAACCCUUCUGCCACAUGUUUCUCUGAUGAGGAAAAGGCCUGGGGUGGGUGCCCCUAGCACAGUGACUGAGGUUGGCAUAAUGACUGGAGAGUAACUGGAGGACCCAGCAUUUACCCAGUAGUUAUGAAAGCUAUUGUUUACAGCAUAGUGCCACUAGAGGAAGUCCUCUAAACAAGAGUCACAUGUAAUUCUUUUCUGGCUACUUCAGCAUAAACACUAGUCACUUGCACUUCAGCUCAAAUGUUGAUUGAGGUGUUCUCAAGAAGCCUUGCCACCAGGCUUCAUUCUUUUUCCUGAGAAUUUUUCUAGGUUAUUGUGAUGUAUCUUGCUUAGGGUUCACUCGAAAAUAGAUUGUAGUAAAAACUAUCUAAGAUUCUUCCUUGGGGAUGGCAAAAUAUGAGUGUGAGAUGUUCUAAGUCCCAUACCCUGUGCAGAUGGUAGAAAGAAUUAAAGCUACCGAGGAACCAAACCGAGGGUAAGCAUGAGUGUGGACACAGCCUAUAGAGCAGUUUGGUGCUGGGAAGCUUCCACACAAAGGGUAUGUGGAAAGCAAGGGCUAAGGAUAAGUAAAUUAUUGGGAGAAGAAAAAUGACUGAGGGACUGUGCAUCCAACCCAGUGGGAGGAUGUGCACACAUAGCACUUGGAGGGUAUGAGCUCCAUAUCCAGCACCUGAAAAAGGAAAGAUCAUGAUCAUGAGCUAUGUCAAGGAUUCCAGUAGAAGGACAGGGAUCGUUGGCAGUGCUUGAAAGUCACAAAACAGAACUGGCACCAGCAACCAGAAGCCUGUGGAAGAAGGUGAUGGGGACUCCACCUGACGGAGCUCUCCCACUGUAACAGUGUGACUGUGCCCACAAAGAUGUAAAAUGUUCCCUAGGCCAUCCCAUGUUGGGGAUGAGAACAGCUUGGAGCCCUUGUUCCUGGGGGUGACCUUCCCCCCGGGAACAGUGUUCUGUAACCACAGCUAAAUCUACACACAUGUGUUUCCUAGCGUUUGAAUCUUUUCUAUAAUAUAACUAUACUGAUACAGGAGAGAAAGUGAGAAAGGAAGAACUUUUCUCUCCUUUGUUCUGGCAAAAUCUGUCACUACAUCUAUUUCCUUUACUAAUAUUUUCUCUCUUCCAGGUCUCUCAAGAAGGGAGCAAGUUGUGGACCUUGUACUCUUUUUCUAUCAACAUGAGGCUUAUAGGCAUUUAUGACUGAGUCCUUAAUGAUUGCCCUGGCUUACUAUUCUGAAAACUAGGAAGAGUGACUGAGUGGGAAAGAACCUAGGCUUUGCACAGUGUGGCUUCUUAUAAUCUCAGCACCUAGGAAGCAUGAGAAUUUCCAUGAAUUCAAGGAGUCCAGCCUGGGCUAGAAGACCCAGUCGCAAAUCAAAACCCGGGCCUAGGACCACAAUCUAGCAGCUAUGGCUCCUCUUCUAGGAUUGUUAAUGGUGCACAGUGCAGAGAUCAGUAUUAAUUUUUGGAGAAACUAUUUUGAUAAAAGAAUCAAGCUACUAACAAUUUUGGAAAUAACAACUUACCACUUUUAUAUAACAAUACUGCCCUUAAAGGACUGUCAGCCCAAGUUUAGUCACUGCCUUUCUAAUCCCAGAUGGCAUACAAACAUGAAAGAGAGCUAUCAAAGCAGCCAACAGUGGUUUGAGAGCAGCAGUGGAUACUCUAAGUCUUGGCAGUAGAUACUUUGAGAAUAAUCUUAGGAGUCUUGUAUUUUGACAAUGAGUGGAUAGAGGAAUAUAAUAUGUGCACAGAAUCUGGUAGACAGGCUAGUGAAUGAGAAAAAAAUGAGACAAUAAGUAUGUGGGCAUAGGUUCAAGACUGUGAGGGGGACUUUGUAUAAAUUAAUAGAUGUGUAUUUUGUUGGGGUUUUAAAGUUUGGAUAAUAUGCUUACAACUGUAGCUUGACCAAGUAAUCUGUCGUCUACCAUGGGAGGGCAUCAGACUAUAAGUACUCUGUCUCUGAACACACCAGAGGGCUGUGCUCAUACAGUAUUAGUCUUAGUGUCCAUAGUACUUGUAAAAAGUUAGCUCCAGCAGCAUUCUGAAGUUAAUAUUCAAUUCUAAUAUAUUAAAUUUAACAGGAAGUAUAGAAAAACAUAACUUAGUUAUCAAGGAUCAUCACAUGAAAGGAUAAAAAUCCUUAAUUCAUUAGUGAAAUAAAACAGCAGGGACUGGGAAGUAAGAGUUCUAGCAUGAGUACCUGAGUUCAGGUUUUUCGCACUCACAUGAAAGUCUAGGCUGGGAGGUGCAGGGAAGGAUGAAGGCAGGAAGAUUGGUGGGGUUCCCUGACUACUAGACUAGCAAAGCAGUGAGAUCCAAAGUCAGUGGAAGGCCCGGGGUCAAGAGAAUAAGGUGGAGAGUGACAGCUAAUAACUGACAUCCUCCUCAGAACUCUGUGCAUGUGCACAUAGGCAUGUGCACCUAUAGACACAUACAUAUACCAACAUACCCACACAUAAUUUUUUUUUCUUUUUUUCGGAGCUGGGGACCAAACCCAGGGCCUUGCGCUUGCUAGGCAAGAGCUCUACCACUGAGCUAAAUCCCCAACCCUCACAUAAAAUUAUAAAAAGAGAAAUAAUAUACAUAACACAAUCAUAUAUGUCUAUGUGUAAUAUAUAUAUUGAAAUUAAAUUUUACAAAUGCCUAGGGCUAGAGCAAUCAGGUGGAGCAAUCAGCACUUUCAAGCCUGGCUGGUAGGAACACAAUUUAAUUUUAUUAAGAAGACUAUCUAAUAGCUGAAGCUCAAUGAACACCCUGUGUUAGCAUUUCAACUCGCUGACCUAUGUCCAGCAGGAAACUCUGUGUGUGUGUGUGUGUGUGUGUGUGUGUGUGUGUGUGUGUGUGUGUGUGUAUGUGUAUGUCAGGGAAGGAAAUAUAAAGAGAUGGCCUCAGCAGAGGUAAGUACUGAUGAUAAUAAUAAUCUUAAAAGUCCAAAUCUCUGGCAGGAGAGCAAUGGAUGCAUUAACAACAUAGCCACACUGAGAAACUUUUGCUGAUUUACUUGCCAAACAAAUGGUCCAGUUAAGACUUACUGGGGUAAAGUCCCAGCUUGUCAUUUCUUUUUUUUCCCUUAAUCUCCAUGAUUUUAUUGUGGGAAAUUUCUAAUGGAGGGAAGAUGUGGCUUCACCAAAGCCUUUGAACAUUUGAUUGUUUCAAACCACACAGCUUGGUUAACUGCAUGGUUUCAUGUGAAAGCCCUCCUAGGAGUCAGGUAGUCCUGCAUACCUCUUGUAUAUUCCACAGAUUCUUAAGUUCAUUCACUAUAAAGGACAGGGUCUCCAAGGCCCCUGGACAUUCUUCUUCCUGAUCCCAGCUUCUUUUCUGACCUGCACACUUUCAAGCAAAUCUUCCAGUCUUACAUGUCCUUCAUAUGCAUCAGCCCUGUUGUGCUUCAUGUUAAAGACUUGCUUGAUUUUAGCAUGUUGGACCCUAAGUGUUAAGAAUUAUCUUCUGCAAGAAUUCUAGGAAUCUGAAAUGAGGUUACCUGUGGUUGUCUGAGGCAUUAGGGUUUUAUCCCCUCUGUCUCUCUUACUAGGUCAAGCUCUCAGUCAAACUUUAGCCCCUUUACCUUUACCCAGUUCCCUUGAGACAGACACUGGUUAAUGCUAUUUCGUUCUGAUGAUGUUUGGGGUAACCUCUUAAAAUAAAGGGACCUUUAUUCAGGGAACAAAACAAAGGUAUUGGAGGUAUUGGUUAGUAGUCGGGAAAGCUUCAGAUCAAAAAACGGCUACUCACUAUGAUAGCAGCCAAGAGCUUAACCCUUGCAUGAGGACAGAAACAACAUUAAUACCACUUAAAGUAGGACCAGUAGAGGCUGGCAGGUCCCUGUUGUCAUGCUUUGGAAGCCUCAGCCAGGAUGAAGCUCUGGCAGCUCUUCCUCAGGGGUUUUGUGGAGAUGAGGAGCAUACAAUGAGGGGGUAGUGUUAGAUGUUAGAUGAGCAGAAAGAUAGGAGAAUCAAUUUAUGCCAGGGCCACCAAGCAAGUACUCAGGAAAUCAUCUGCUCCUGAACUGAGGAUGCCACAGAAUCUCAUUCCUACCAUCCCUUCUGAAAGGAUCCACACAGGGGUGGCAUGAUAAAAAUGUUCACUUGCCUCCCUAUAGACCUCUCAGACUCUCAGGAUGGGGAGGACUUACUUUAGGAAAUCAAGGAAUUUAAUCACCAGAUAGGAAAGGGACCCAUUCCCUACCAGCCAUUACUGGAGGGGAAACACUGAGGUGGUAAGAAUGUAUAAUCUACCACAGAACAGAGGCAAUCUCAUGGAAUCUGAUCUUUGAUGUUAACCAUGGUGGCUCCAAGUAAGGCUUUCUUAUUGAUGUUUCCUUCAUUUCUUUCCCUGAGGGCUCUCUGUGAGGCUUGAAUUCAUCCAGAGAGGGAAUAGCAGAAAUCCCGAGGUCACAGACAAUGCCUUUUCUGAUAGCAAUGUUGACAAUACAGAUAGACUUUUGCUAACCAGUGAAGUUUAUACAAGCCUAGAAUUCCAGAAACUGUAUUGGGGGUUAUCUCAUCAAUUGUUUACCACUCCUAUGUCAAAGCUUAGUCUUUAACUUAUUGGGGUUCUAUCUAAGUUCAUGCAUGUGAUCCAAAGCUUCUACCAAUGAAUCAUUACUAGCACGGACUAUCUAGUUUAUCCCAAGACUUCCAUAUAAACAAAGACACUAUUGUCAACAAAAAGUUCAAGGGAUAAAGAGAUGGCUUUCCAAGAGACAAAAGCAAAAAGCCAAGCCUCUCCUUGGGUAGAAUUAAUCCUUAAGGACUUUCCUUGGACAAUGAAGGGUCCAUCGACUUGAGUACAAAUAAACAUCAGAGCUUUCCCUAGAUUUUUAUUGCAGUGUUCAUUUUGAACCUUUGUGCCUCAGGAAGGCACUCAGAAGAUCCCAAGAAGAAGCAUGUUAUCCUUGGAAAGUCAUGAAGGCUUUUAUCAAAAAUUCUAUGUAGUAACAAUUUACAGAUUUAAAGCAGAUACAAGACAGUGAUCCUAUAUGUUACAAAUUCUUAAAGGAUCUUUAUCCUUAGAGCCAAAAGGAUAACAGUUUGGGAGAUUGUGCACCAAGGCACUAAUGCUUUGCCAUUCCUAUGGGUGAUACUGACACUCAUACUUGAAGAGCCUCUGAGCCAUGGUAGCAUCCAAUGCUAUAGCUAGUGCCCAUGUUCCACCACGUACAAGUCACAAAUGAAGAUGGACUAUCAGAUUCUUCUCUUUGUGUCUGAAGUGAGCAGUUAAAUAUGGUACAGUAACAAAUGGUGAAGGGCUGAGUGUGUGGGGAGGACAAUGUACACUCUAGGUACUGUGGACUAAAUUGUUAACAUUCAUGUGCUCAAGCUGUGACUACUAAUGACAUCUGCAGAAAAGAAAUGAUUAGUAUUAUAUCAGGUAAGAAAGGAAGCAAACUAAUCCAACACAAUUAGUGUCCUAAGAAGAGAUGCUGGAGGGCAUAUGCCCAGGGAAGUGUUGCAAACUCCAAAAGAAAGAAAACGCUGCAUGACCUUUUUCAUAUGUGAUCUGCCAUGUAUAUGUGUGUGUGUGUGUGUGUGUGUUUGUGUGUGUGUAUUUAGAUGAGUGUGAGUGCAGGUAAAGGCUAAGCAAGCCAUAAAAUAGACCAAGAGCAGGAGGAAAAGGUUCUGGGGAGAGGGAGAGAGCAAGGCCCCAUGAGUGGCAUGGAAGAGGAAAGGAGGCUGGAGAAAGAGUACAAGAAGGAACAAGAAGGCAGUGAGAUGGCAAAGCAAAAACAUUCCCUAAGGAAACCUAAUACUUCACAGGAAAAUUUAGAUAGAUAAAUGAUAGAUAGAUAGAUAGAUAGAUAGAUAGAUAGAUAGAUAGAUAGAUAGGUAGGUAGAUAGAUAGAUAGAUAGAUAGAUAGAUAGAUAGAUAGAUAGAUAGAUAGAUAGAUAGGAAGGUAGGUAGAUAGAUAGAUAGAUAGAUAGAUAGAUAGAUAGAUAGAUAGAUAGAUAGAUAGAUAAAUGGAAGAAACAAAGAAAAAUCCUUUCCUACUGAUUCUCAGACCCAACCAGAGAGAAAGAAGGGCAAACCCAGCUGUUUAUCUGCUGGUGAAAAUGAUUCUUGUCUUCUCGUCAUAGAUCAGUAUACAUUAUACCCAAGGGGAAUGAAACAGGCCCUCCAAUGUCUUUCAAUAGCAAUGAUGUGUGGGAUACCCUAGUGAUGAAAGAUUAAAAGAUCCCUUCAAGUUAUGACUUCAGCAUGUAUAGGGAUAAGCAGAAAUCUAUGGUACAGACAUGGCUAUGAGUAGUUACGGCUUUGAGGAGAGGCUACAUAGGAUACCUCUGGGGCCAGAUUUUGUCACAACACUAGAAAUGUUCCUUAUAUGGGUGUGGCUUGUAUAGGAAAAAAUUCUUACAUAUUUGUACUUUGCGGCUAAACAUUUCUCUCUGCAAGAAGCAUAGAAUAUUCAGGCCAGUCACCACUUGCAAAAGUACUGAGCAUCAGAAGACUAUGAGGAAAAUCAUUUUCAUCAUCUGAAAAUUUUAAUCUUGAUUUUAUAAUUGAUAUGUAACCAAGCACAUUAGUAAUUAUUGGGUAUAAUGUUCUAAUUCAAUGCAUGUGUAUAAGGUAUAAUUAUCAAAUCAGGAAAAUUAGCAUUUUUAUCUUCCCAAAGACUAUGUGUAGAGAGCCUUUAUACUCAAUUUUGUCCUAUUGUUUUGAUUUGUAUAAUUCACUACCGUAGAUUUUAACUCUUCAGUCAUUCUCAGGAGAGCCAGAGGUACUUACUUGCUCAUUGUUUGGUGUUUGGUACUCACUGUUCACACUCUCAUGUUCCACGUUCCCCUUGCCUUCCUAACCUCUGCUUGCUUCUGGUCUUUUCUCAGUCCUAUGUGAUCAGCUUUUAUUGCCUUCCCCAAAUGAGUGAAACCAUACAACAUUUGUCUAUAUAUUUGGCUUAUUUUAUAGAACAUAAUAUUUUCCAUUUGGAUCCAUGCUGCUGCAUGUGACAAGAAGCCAUGCUUUAAAUGAUGAAUCAUAUUCAGGUGUUUAUAUGUACCAUAUUUUUGAGAGCUUGUUGUGUAACACGGGGUGACCCUGACAUUAAUGUCAGGGUCAGGCAGCUAAUCCUCUUACUUUCAUCUUUUCCUUGUCUAUUUUCUGGGCCUUCAAGGCUUUUAGCAAGCUCUUCAGUCCUAGGCUAAGUCAUGUCUGCUGCUCCAAACACAUUAUUUGUUCCACCUUAAGGGACAAGGCAAAGAGCCACUUGAGGAUUUAUAAGGCUCUUCUCCAUCUGGUAUUGACUUUCAGCUGGAAUCCAUAGGUGAUUAGGGCCAGAGAGCAUUUAAGUUCACAUAUACAGUCUUAUUAGAAACCUUUUUAGAUCAGAGAUCUAGAAAUCACACACAGAGACAGAGACAGAGAGAGAGACAGAGACAGACAGACAGACACAGACAGACACAGACAGACAGACAACAUGCAGCAAGGUAGAAGGAACACAGAGAAACAUAGAAGUUGAGAUUAGUGGUGUAAAUGAAGAGGAUCCAAUCCACAGUGUUUCCCAAGAAGGGGCAGUCUACCUUCUCUGUGCAGCCCAGAGAUGAUUUUAUAAUCUCCUUUCUGCACAGCUAUAAUGCAAAACCUAUUCCUUUGCCAUUGCUAAAUUAGCCUCAUAGCCACAGUAAUCUUUUUCUUAAAUCACUGAAAUUCAUUUUGACCUCGUUGAGAUAACUGCUCUGUUGCACAAAGGAUGCAGAUUCGUGGAAAAUUCAAUUAUUGUUUCCUUCCACUCUCCCUCCCUGUUUCCAUCCACACUCCCUGCCUAUUUCUGUAUUAAAUUAUCCCACUCAGAGAAUCUCACUCUGUAAAUUCACUGAGCAUAUUUCUCAGCAUCGAUAAGAAAGCAAAUAAAAAACGGAGUAUUGGGCUGGGAGAGAUGGCUCUUCCAGAGGUCCUGAGUUCAAAUCCCAGCAACCACAUGGUGGCUCACAACCAUCUGUAAUGAGAUCUGAUGCCCUCUUCUGGUGUGUCUGAAGACAGCUACAGUGUACUCAAAUACAUAAAAUAAGCAAAUAAUUCUUUAAAAAAAAUAAAAAUAAAGAAGUAUGACCCUAGGCCAUGGAUUCACAGAAUAGUGGGAACAAAUACAUUCUUUUUCUCCUCCAUUCGCAACACAACACUCCAGCUCUCCCAGCUCACACCCACUUAGUCUCAAGCAAACAUUCUCUUAGAAUGUCCAAUAGAAUACAUAAAGCCAAAGAUGGGGCGUAGUGGCAUAUGUCUUUAAUCCCAGCACUUGGGAGGCAGAGGCAGGCAGCUCCUUUAUGAGCUGGAGGCCAGUCCAAUCUACAGAAUUAGCUCCAGGAAAGACAGACCUACAGAGAAACCCUGUCUCAGAAAAAAAAAUAGGGGGCUGGGGAUUUAGCUCAGUGGUAGAGCGCUUACCUAGGAAGCGCAAGGCCCUGGGUUCGGUCCCCAGCUCCGAAAAAAAAGAACCAAAAAAAAAAAGAAAGAAAGAAAGAAAGGAAGGAAGGAAGAAAAAAAGAAAAAAUAGAAAAACAUCCCUCUCCCCCCAAAACCAAAACCAACCAACCAGGCACACAAUGAAACCAAAAGAUGAAUUAGUCAAGCAUUUUUUGUGGGUAUACAGAAGGAACCUGGAAGCCAGGUGAUUGAGGCACAGAUGACUUUAUUGCCUUUCCAGUUGUUCUCGAAUCCAUAUCCCAGCCUUAGGAGUUGAAGGUAUCUGGAGAGCCCCUUCUGAAAGCAGAGGGCAAAGUAGGCCUCAGAAAGUAAAGGAGAAAAAUAGGUGACCGUUCUCACCUCUAGCCCAUGGUGGUAGAUGUCUGAAAUCUCUGAAGGCCAGUUACGCAGGCGCACAAGCAUGGUGUAUGCAUAAGAGCUCACCUCAUGGGGCUGGAGAGAUGGCUCAGUGGUUAAGAGCACUGACUGCUCUUCCAGAGGUCCUGAGUUCAAAUCCCAGCAACCACAUGGUAGCUCACAACCAUCUUAAUAGGAUCCACUGCUCUCUUCUGACGUGUCUGAAGACAGCUACAGUGUACUCAUAUACAUAAAAAUAAAUAAAUCUUUAAAAAAAGAGCUUACCGGUUGGGGAUUUAGUUCAGUGGUAGAGCGCUUGCCUAGCAAGCGCAAGGCCCUGGGUUCGGUCCCCAGCUCCGAAAAAAAAAAAAAAAAAGAGCUUACCUCACAGCCCUGCCAUGCCCAAUUCUAGAGUUCCCUGGACCCACUGAGAAAGUGGGAUACUGAGGCAAGAUUACUGCUUGGAGGUGCAGCUCUCUUCUUCAAAAAUACGAAUGAAGAUUUCUGCUGAACCCUUAUUUGGGGAUUCUAGGAAAUCAGCAUGAAUGGGAAAGAAGCAGUGACAUCAUCAGGGGCAGGGAGCUCAUGCUGCAGGACUAUGUGAUGAACAAGGAAGGUCGGAGGAAUCCCUAACAACUACCAGUUGAGCUCCCUCUAUUCAGCCCAUAAACUAGCAACACAAGCUUUUCUACCUCUGCUUUGCCCACUGUCAGACUAAAUAAAGGAUCCCAACCAAAAGUUGGUAUGUCUUGGAGCUGUGGCUACCUCAGUUGUCCCUUAUGUGCCUGGCAUGCCUGAGACCCUGGACUCCAUCCUCAUCAUCACGUGGAAAGGUUGCUCUAUUUUAGAUGUUGAUGGUCUCUGUGUUCAUACUUUUCUGACGUUAUCUGGAUCUUUCUUUUGCUAAUGUUCCUUUUUGCCGGGUCUCUCAGCCUUGUCUGAAAAUGUCAAACUCGAGGCCGUGCUUCAAUUUGCUAAGUGCAAGAGGAAUGAUAAUAGCAGUGGAGUGACUCAGCAGCACACUGCAGACAUGGCAUUGCAAAUGAUUUCAGCUUAUUUCACUGAGCUAAAGCUGACCUUGGUUUCCACGCAAAUAGUAGCCUCCAUGGUUUAAAGAAGAAAACUUAUCAGAGCAAACAAUUUUAUACAGUUACCAUAAGAUGUUUACUGUACAAUACAAGUUUGCUAUAGACAUGCAUCCUUGUGUAAAGUAUACAAUAUAUAUCUAUGCAUAUGUUAGGAUAUAGUAUCUUGGGGAUGCUGCUUCAGAUCUCCUGUACUAGCUGUUAUAUCUAAUCCAAAACUUUUGCUUUUAAUUAAAAGAUAUAAUUAAAUGUAUAUCAGCAAUUUGUAAUAUAUGAUACAAACCAUAGGCACAUUUCAAUGAUAAGGCACAGAUUUGUGUAAGCAGAACUUGGUUUAAAUGAUAGACAUUGUGUAACUUACAGACCUUUCUUGUGCCCUUUCCCAAACAGAGUGCCAUCUUUUUUCUACCCCUCUAUGCUAUGGUUUUGCCUCUUCUUAAAUGGUGUCAUAGGAGAUCAUGCUCUAUUCCCACUGACGUGCUAGUUUUUGCUCGCUCUAGUGAAAGGCAUUUAUCUUGGUGCUAACAGCAGUAAUUUCUUCAGUUGGAUUGCUGCAUAACUUCCAUCUCAUGAAUGUUUCAGAACAAUGACAUUCUAACAGCAGGUAUUACAGUCCUUGUCACGGUAUGAGGCACACCGUCACUAGAACAUUCUGAAGAAAGCAAUGUUUGAGGAUGGAUUUGCAUUUUGAUUUUUCCUAUACACAUAUAACUAUACAUUUUGACGAAAAUACUUGAGAGCUACAGAAUAAUUGUUAUUUCCUCUGUUCAUCAUUCAGCUCAUUUGUGUAGUUUGAGGUUGCACAGGAAGUAAUGUGUGUGACACUUCACUGCAAUGCUGAGCAAUGUGAUGACCAAGACAGCUACAGAUCCACUCCAGGCUGGUUAGCACAUAAUGCGAGGACACUGGACAAGAGGAUGAUUCACUUCCUGGAUAUGAUGAGCCAUAAUGAAAACUCAUCUUGCUACCUAGAAUGACCAAUUUAACAUUGUAUUUUUUUCUGGAACCUUCUAUUUACUAUUUUGCAGCUGACUGAAGGUUACUGGAACCGUGGAAAGGAAAGCAGCUGAUAGAAAAGCUAUUAUAAAACCACUUUGUCAAAUGCUGCUUUCAAUAGUUAUUUUGAUGAAUAUAUUGAAUCUUAAAAAUAAUUUAGACAGAACUGACAUUUUAUAGUAUCAUUGUCCAGUUAAUGAACAAAGGAUAUCUCUCUGUUCACGGACGUCAACAUUGGUAUCUGAGUUUACCAGAGGCAAGAGGUUACAAGUGCAAGAACCAGAUGUUCCUGGGGUCAGUUUCUUCACAGAGAUCUGACGAAAAAUCAUUUUAUAUCUCUGGGCUAAAUUUUGGCCACAGUUUGUUUGUGUCCAAAUUUCCCCCAAACAGGACCGGGACCUUGCCAUACUUCCAGAUUUACCUAAUUCCAACUGGCAUCUAUAUCUUCAGUUGAUUUUUUUACAUUAACACUCCGAUUUGAGUACCAAAUUUUGUUUUAGCUUGCUUGCUCUGCUGUACUGAAGCUCUAUCACUGAGUAGGGAAAACACAUGCAUUGAAUAUCUUCGAGUCCAGGAGGCUAGAAAUACGAAAUGUUAGCAGGGUUGGUUCCUUCUAGGCUGUGGAUGAGAAUUGGUUUUACUUCUUGCUCCUCGUUUUAUACAUAGAUGGCUAUUUCUCCAUAUGGUCUUUCCUUCAAGUGUGUCUGUCUUUGUGUUCUAAUCCUUCACCUUUAAAGACUCUAAGGUCAAUUCUAAUUAGAUCCCCUGAAGUAAUUAGAGCUGAAAUGACUCUAUUUCCAAAAGGGCUCAUUCUGAGGAACUAAGACAGACACUUGCCAUAAGCAAAAGCACUAUUCAACCUACCACUGAAGUAUCUCUGAAUAGUUUACACGUAGGUCUUUAUUAUAUUUAUUUUGUGUUUUUGUAUCCAUCAUCAACUUAUCGUCUCCCAGCUCUCACUGCAUAUACUCUAUGAAAACACUAAGCAUCUUUUUUUUCAUGGACAAUAUUAAACUGCCCCAGUAGAGGGCAGUGGAGGGACACAGAAACAAGGUGAGAUUGCCUUCCCUUUCAGGCAAUAUGCUACUGAUGAAGAUUUGCAGCUAUUUGAUGUCCCCACAGCCACUGGUCCAGAACUGAGGAUCCCUCACGGCAACAUUGUAAUGUCUGUGUGAAAGUAAUUAGCAGCCCUCUCAACAGACAAACAAGAGAACAGCAGCCUGUUAGCUUUGAGCAAGGCCACCCAUUUGCUGAUCACCUGGCUUGCUCUGCCUAGCCUCCUAAGAGCUGCUUUUUGACUUGUUCAAAAGCAUCAGCUGUAUCCUGGCUCAUACAAGAUUCUCUGCCAGAAUUAUGCCUUGUACCAUAGGGGAAUCUAAGCUCCAACAGUGCAUUUCUUUCCUUCUGUGACCCAGUGCUAAGCGAUCAUUUAGCACUUUCCUACAGCUCAUUAUUACUCAGGAUCAUAGCUUAAUUAUGUGUGAAAGGCACCGUGAUGAAUCUGCUACAUAUGCCUGAUUAGGCCCACUCCUAUUUUUGAUACUUUGGUUAGAAUACGCUAUUCAUUUUUCAUUACCUUUAAAAUCUUAAAUAGGUUUGCAAGUUAUAUAUGUAUGUAAAUAUAUGUAUUCAUAUAUAUGCAUUAUAUAAAUUGUGUAUAUAUAUGAAUAUGUAUAUAUUCAUAUAUGUUAUUCAAUGUGCCAUGUUUUGGUUUUAUUCCAGUGCUAGGAUUUGAACCCAGGACCUGUACAUAGUAGCCAACACUAUACCAAUGAACUACAUCUGCAAUUGAGAAAACAUACUUUAAGAACUCAAAUGUAGAAUAUUUUUGUUAUACCAUAAUCAAAUAAUAACAGUAUGAGUAAUAACAAAUUUGUCUUUUCUCUGUGACCUUAUACUUCCACUGAUCUCAUUCACUGAAUUAAGAUAUACUAAAGAAUUGUCAAAGGGAGUUAUUCCUCAGAUUCAAAAGGAAAGAUUUUACUGUUUUACUUUCUGUAUAGUAUUGUGGGUUUCUGUUUUCUGGUUCGCUGUGAUGUUGGAACCCAGUGUUUACAGCAUGCAGGCAAAGCUCUACUGCCAAGCGGCAUCUUAGCCUUCUUAUGUUUUUGUAGCAAUUUGUGGAGAUUAUAGAGUUCCUUUCCCUUCUUAGAGAUAUGAAAACCUUUACAUUUUGAAGGUGGCUUGAGAUUUGUCAUGUUUUAUUAUUUAUUAUUGCUUGAGAUGAUUUCCAUGCUAUAUUUGGCUAACACAGUUGGUUUUGAUAUGGUUUUGUUAAUGACUGGCCUUUGGCCAUAACACAUCCCUUUAUCUGCAUAUUAAUGAGUUUUCCAGCUAAUAAUUCUCAUCAUCAGUUUUCACGUAUUUCCCUGAGUUUGGCUGACACGGUCUCCUAUUUGUCUUCAUUUGUCUAGAAUAUACAUAUUGUCAUUUCUACUAUAUGCUACAAAUGUAAAUUGACUCUUCUUUCCUAUGUCCUUUGGUUUUCUUUAAGAUUUGAUGAGGUCAUUAAGAUUUGGUGUUCAUUUUACUUUUGGAUUCCUUGAGGAAAAUUAUUUUAUUGUUCAUUUAUUCUGAUUGCUAUUGGUCAAUUCAUAGUUCUGUAUUUCCUAAGCCACCUAAGCCAUAUUCCUAAAAUACCUGCCAUUCCCCUUAAAUUUUGAGAUAAAUGUAAAGUAUCACACAUGUCCUUUUUAUUACAGUGGAAGAGUGCACUUAUAAAUUCUAAAUGAAAUAUGAACAUUUAUAUGAACAUAGACAUAGUCUUCAGUCACCUCUCAAAAGAUGUAGCUAGGUCUCUUCGAAUCCAGGCUCAAUUAGGAUGGUGACACAAAGGAGAAGUCCUGUGUUCUGGAACUAACUGUAAAAGACAGUUUCUCUGGCCUGCACUGGCAGUCACCACAUAUUGAGUGUGUGACAUGCUGUGCAUGUGCAUAAACAGAGUAUCUCAAUUUCACACCUUGAUCUUGCUCUUUGUCAAUUGCAUAUUCCUUUGCAUUGACAGUUGAAUUUUUAAAAAUAUAGACCAGGCAUUGGCACAACAUAGCCCUUGCAUUCCAUUAUGUUGAAUAUAGGGACCAACUCAGGAGGAAUAAAUGACAUUUAAAUCUGCAGACUUCCAAUCAGGAGUCAUAGAAUAUCAUUUAUUCACCCCAUUCUUUUGCUCUUAUUUAGUUCAGUUACUUUCUAUUCAAAGUCAACUUUGGCAAUAAAUGGGGUUUUUUUUUCUUUUUCUUUUUUUCAGAGCUGGGGACCGAAUGUGGGGCCUUGCGUUUGCUAGGCAAGCACUCUACCACUGAGCUAAAUCCCCAACCCUGCAAUAAAUGUUUUGAGACAGUGUUGACUUUAUUGGUUAUUUUCAUUGAAGUAUAAAUUCAAAUCCAUUCAUUUUUCUCUUCUGCAAACCAUGCCUGUAAACAGCACUACCCCCACAAUCAUUAAAGAACAAGCUUUCCAAUCUCCAAAUCACUUUAUAGGAAAAACAUCCCUUUAGAGACAGACACCCAUCACCAGUUGCUUGCCAAGGAUCCCUGCCCUUCUCCCGGUCCUCACAUCUUGCUCCAAAUGUCCCUGUCCCUCUUGUGCCUAAGCUCUAAAACACCUCUGAAGACAAUCAUCCAGCCAGUCUCUGAAGUCACAAACCCUAGGAUCACUAUAACCCUGCCCUUCUGGAUUCUGUAUGGUCCUUAUCUUUGGUUCAUGCCUCAGUCCAAACACACCUCAGCUCUUUUUAUAUACCAGUUUCCUCAGAGAUCAAAACAUUCCAUCCUGCAGGGGAAUUAAAGCCAGAAGAUAAACAACCCAAAAUAACAUGAGGAAGUUCCUGAAACUGACCAGAUUCACUAGGCCACUCCCUCCCUCAUAAGAGUACACCAAAACCACUUCUAAGUGUCAUGUUCAGACCACCUACCAGCAAAGAUGGUUCUAAAAUGAGAACAGAUGCCUGGAAGAAGCUAGAGCAGCAAAGCUUUCAGGAAGAUGGUUAGACCAAGCGAAUCAUUUAAAAUGGACACUCACCAAAGUCUUUGAGCUGCCUGUAGACUGAGAAGUAGUCUCUGGGCCUCCCCUUUUUGUGAGACAUCUGGUGGACUGUGAUUUGUGAAUGCAUCUGUGUCUUAGUCAUUUUUGUUCCUGUAGGAACCCUUCACCCACAUUACUGUAAGUAACCCAAAUAAAUUCAGUGCUAAGCCAGGUUGGACUUUGGCACCAUUCCUAAUUUUGUCUGUUACAGGAUUCCUAUCUGGAGUGUAAAAGAUGUACAGAUGCAUGUGAUGUCUCCCAAGAAAAGCCUUGCCACAUAACAUCUCUCCCUUCACAUCUCUGAUGCUACUGCAACUUAACUCUCCAUCCUCUAGCUAUUGCUAUUCUGUUUUCCACUCUAUAUUCUGUGCAUUUCUCCAGUGGCCCUAGCCUGUGUGCUCAUUUCCACAAGCCUACAGUCCAUCCUGAAAUCUCACUGGAAAAUCUUAUCCAGAAUGUAGAACAUAUUUUUUCCUCUACUGCAGCAUCAUCACUGACAACUCAACUCCUGUUCAAAGUGUGAAAGCAAGUAUUUCACUACAGUCUGUUAGGAGGGUCUGUGAUCCAGUCCCAGAACUCGGUUCCUAAUUUACUGAAGGCAUCGUUAAUGCCCCAGAGAUCUCCUGAGAUCUCCAUGGGGUCUUCCACUCAUAAAUGCACAACACUACUUGAAAUCCACUAUAUAUUUGACUAUUCUGUGCACAUCACUCUAUGACAGCUUAUUAGUUAGACAGCAAUAUCUGGAUCCCAAAGAUAAACCUUGACUGCCAGCAUUCCUAUAUGAAACAUGAUGUCCCCACUGACAGCUCCAGUAUUCACUGCUCACAUAUGAGUCACCGUUCUCCUAAUAGAAAAUCGUUUCCUGGUAGCCAUGGUGACAGCUCUACAGUUGCCAGCAUUCAGGCUACGAAUGUGAACAAUAGGCUGUAUGCUUUCCUGAACAUCCUCUACUGUGUCUGGGAUCAGCAGGAACCCCACUCCAAUAAGAAUGGGGGAGCGACUAAAUCCAGCGUGAACUGGGAUGCCUGUGAUUUGCACCACUGUAUCUGAAAAGACAUCCAUCUCUCAGCCCUUGCUUUACACUCACAGAGGUGUGGAGUCACAUGGUGCUCCCUCUAGCUGUCCUCCUCAUGCAGCUGCACUCCUUCCAGUGCUCCUUCAUAUUGUCUGCUGUCCUCAGGUGUCUGUCUCUCAUUGGUCACCAUUUCACCUACCAGUAUUCCCCUGCCUCAGAGGAGAAGAAUUGAGGGUGGACAAAGAAUCAAUACCUGGCUCCUGCCAGUAGCAAGCACUUCUAGACACUCGCAUGCCAGGGGUACAGAAGCAAUGCUUUCCCCAGAACACAGAAUGCUGGUAACUGAGACCGUUUGUUCCAUGUAAUGGGGUAUCAUAGAGUACUCAUGAUCUCUCACAGUCCAGAGUUGAUGCCCAACUCACUGAUGAGAUGGUAUUAAAAGGUAGACCCCAGGGUUGUACUACUACUCGCCCUUAAUAUUAGAACUCCUGGGUCACAGGCAAGUGGAUUUUCUUGAGUUCAGUGCAACCAUCCUGGUCUAUAUAGUGAGUUCCAGAUCAGAGAGGCUCUAUAGUGAGAUCCUGUCUAAAGAAAAAUAAAUAAAUAAGUAAGUAAAUAAGUAAAUAAAUAAAUAAGAUUUGUCAGCAGUAACUUAGGAUUCUCUGGGCCAGAAUUGGGGGCUCUGAGUUGGCCCACCCCAAAAUCUCUAUCAUCUAAGAACUGUUGGGACAUAUGAAAGGGCCAGUCCUGUUGAUCCAAAGCUGCAGGAUCUCCAUGACACAGGGCAACAACAGGAUCACCAGGAGGAGUCCUGAUAAGGAUCAAAUCUUGAUGGUGUCACAGAAGCCAGAGCUUGUCACAAUGACUCAUUGCAAUGAACAUUUGCAAGUGAAGAUGUGUGGAUAGAGGGAUAUACUGUGGGACACACUGUGACACACUACAGCUUCCAUGAGGAUAUGUUCCUGUUGUGUGUUUACAUGCAUAUGUAUGUGUGUGAGGGUGCGCGCACGUGUGUGUGUGUGUGUGUGUGUGUGUGUGUGUGUGUGUGUGUGUGUUGCUUUAUUUGGGGGAAUUGCAAUGGCAAAGGGACAUGGGGAUGAACAUGACUAGAGUGUAUGGGGCGCUUGCUGUGAUGGAGAGAACCCAUUGCAACAGCAACAUGAAAAUUCAGCACAUUUUCUUUAUACCUGUGAAUUCAGGAGGCAGGUUUAUCUUACACAGUUGAAAAGGGAGGUAGGUUUUGCCAAUCUAUCUGUUAGGGACCUCAAGCUGCAGUCAUCCUAGAGGUGGACACUGAGAUUGACAGUCUCCGCUAACAUUGUCAAUAUUCACAGCACCACCUUUUAGAAAGGUUUUUCCGAUGCCCCUGAGCCUGACCCAAGGAAGAAUUUGCCAAUUCUCCACAUUGUGGUACUUGAUAUGGCUGUACUCAUGUGAACAACACACAUUGACUCAGGGCCUCAUCCACUCCCCACAUACACUAAUGGAAAGUCCAGGCUACUCUGUGGGCAUGCACACUCUGCCAAGACUAUUCAGGGUAAGAAAUUGCUGACUGCUCUUAGAAACACUUCUUCAAGAGACUACAUGUGACGUAGUCAAAGACUAAUCCAUAGGAAAGGACACGUUUUGAGAUAUCCUAAUCCAAAACUUUAAAAUGCUUUUCUUAUUCCCAAGAAUAAAAGGAGACCCCACAUUAAAGAUAACUUUUCCUGUACUGGAGAAUGCAGAGCUUGUCAACCCACACAAGGCUAUGGCUUCUAUCUGGCAUUUCAACAGCGUGGCCACCAGGGGGCAGCAUAAUCUCAAACAUUGUGUGUCCUAGAGCCCACAGCUCUGCCUGCAGCCUUCAUAAAUCUGAUUAAUUCCCAGGUUUGAGCGCUGUCGACUGCUCACACAGAUGCAGCUGCAGCUAUUCAUUGUCUUUGGAGGACUGUGGUGGACAUGAAAUAUUUGCCAUCUAGUCUAGGUCUUUAGGUUUGAAGUCUCAACAGAAUCUACAAGGUUCCAGUAGAAGCAUAAAAUGAGCUAGAAAAUCAAUUAGGCCUAUCAGUCAAAGUCCUCUGAGUAUUUGAAGCACUGAGUGGUCCUGGUGGAGGUAGCAACACAUGACUGUCCUGCUUCAGGGACAUUUUCUACACUUAGGCUAUAUGGUUGGCAGAAGGGACUGAAAUCUAAAGUACCCUCUAGCCCUAGAGUUUGAGAUGUGUGCGCUGGACAUGGUCUCAUAGACUUAGUCCAGUCUUUCUGUAGUGCAUCUUCCAUUCCCCUUUAGAAGAGAAGGACUGGUUCUCUUGGCUUCUAGAAGGGCUGUCAAAGGACAGCCCUUUGGAAAUUCCAAUUCACUCAAAAAGAGCAGUCAUACACGUGUGAAGUUCCACGACUUCAUGUAUUCAAUGACAUCAUGUUAGGAAGCACACAAACCUUAUCCCUAGGUGGAUUUCGAGACAGCCAUCUCAAUUGCAGACUUCUCAGUGGAGUCAUCUGGUCCCUGUGCUGGUGUUCAUGCUGGCUGGUUUUUAUGUCCCCUUGACACAAACUAGUAUCAUUUUAGAAGGUCCAUCAGUUGAGAAAAUGCCCCGAUAAUAUUGGCCUGGGGAGAAGCCUUUAGGGCACUUUCUUUUUUUUUUUUUAGAUGUACUCUUGACUUUAUUAUUUAUUGGCAUAAACAAGAAAGUUCUCUGCUCACAAACACAGUGCUCCUUCCCCAUACAUAUAAUUGUAAAACACACACACACACACACACACACACACACACACGCAACUUAACAGUUAGUCAUAAUUUAAGAGCUUGACAAAGAAGUACAUGCAUAUGGUCACCAUAACAUGUAUAAACAUAUUAAACAUGCAUACGGUCACUGUAGCAUGGUAUAAAUACAUUAAAUAUUAGGGCACUUUCUUGAUUGAUAUAGGAGGGCUCUACCAAAUGUUGGUGAUGCCACCUCUGAGCUGCUGGUCCUGGGUUCUAUAAGAAAGAAAGGUAAGCAAGUUAUGAGGUGCAAGCUGUAAGAAGCUAGCCAGUAAGCAGCACCCCUCUGUGACCUCUGCAUCAGCCCCUGCCUCCAGGUUUCUGCCAUGGUUGAGCUCUUGUCCUGACUUCCUUCAGUGAUGAACAGUGAUGUGGAAAUGUAAGCCAAUAAGCACUUUCUUCCCCAACUUGCUUUCUGGUCAUGGUGUUUUGCUGCAGCAAUAGAAACCCUGAGACAACGUUGAUUGGCAUCUCCUAGCUAGUCUUGCAUCUUCUCUCACAAGUCUUGAGCAAGUGGGCAUCCCCAGUAGCCUUUUGCCAUAUGUAAGUUCUAGUUCAGAGUCACUUUCCAGGAGGAAGCUAGUGUUACCUUUGUUUUGCUGGAGGAUAAAUGUGGGGAGUGGAGAAAGCCAUGAGUCAGGGAAGUCCAGAGUGAGUCUGUGCUGUUAACAUGGGUACACCUCAGGCUCUGUAGGAUACCACAGCCUUCCUAGAGGACCGAAUGCAAGUAUUGACAGUUUAAUGCAGAAACUAUCCACAAGAGCUUCCUCGCACUGGACCUGUAUAGCCUGAAUACUGCUCCCACCCCAACUCCUGGAUAUUUACAGCAUAAAGUCUGCUCCCUACAGAGACUGCUCCUGCAAAGAUUAAAUAGACCUGUCCCCAUUGACACAGCUGUAUAAUACAACCGCUGUUUCCUCCUUUAUCUGUAUGUAGUAACCCAGUUUCCUUGUCCAGAUGCAUGCAAUAAUCCUGUCUCCCUGUUCAACUAUAUAUAAUGAACACACUGGGCUUCUAGCAGGCCUCAAUUUCUCCAGCUGAGAGCCCAGACCACAGAAUCCCAGAUCCCCAUCCUUGUAUCUGUCUUUUCUCCAUCCCCUGGUUGCCCCCAGUCAAGUCUGUCUCUGGAGCCAUGCUAGAUGCCGCAAAUAAAUCUUGGCUAUUUUUCAUCUCAGUUUUAAGUAAAACUAUAUAAUUCUAAAGACAAUAAUACCUAAUGGCAUGCUGUACAUUAAAUAAACAAGCCCCCCAUGAGGAGACACACUUGCCUUCUUCCUUACUAUAUCACUAGAGCCUUUAAGGUAGGCCCUAUAGACAUAUAUGCAUUUGAUGAUCAAAUAAUGAGCACUCACCCGUAAGUGACAGAUAAAAGCAGAAAUUCCCUCAGACACCUCACAGGAGGCUACUGACCUUGCAGGGGACCAUGGAGUGGAGAGGUGCGCUUCGUAAGUUUCUCAAUUCCAUCUGUGAUUUUUUCCAGUUAGUUCCUAGACUGUAAUGUUGGUUAAAGCACACUGGAAUCUAGGAGUUAUUUAGAGCAGGUCUAAAUUCCCCAAGGCCUGCUUGAGAACUAUCUGAACAUCAGAGUAUAUCAGAAAUAAACAAGUUUCUAAUACCUUCCUGAGGGUUCCAGAAUUCCAACGGACAGCCAUCUUACAUACCUAUAUUCUUUAAGAGUUUCAGGACUUUGCUUCUGUAUGGUGUUGUUUUUAGAAAAAAAAGAAGAUAGCUUUUACUUAAUAUUGAAAGCCAUAGACAUAAAAUGUGUUUUUCCUAGAUAAGAUUGAUGAAGCUAAAACAUGCAUGCUGAAUGGGACCGGAUAUAGAUCUCUCCUGAGAGACACACCCAGAGCAUGUCCAAUACAGAGGUCAAUGCUAGCAGCAAACCACUGAACUGAGAACAGGACCCCCUUGGGGGGAAUUAGAGGAAGGAUUGAAAGAGUUGAAGGAGCUUGCAACCCCAUAAGAACAACAAUGCCAACCAACCAGAGCUUCCAGGGACUAAACCACUACCAAAAGACUAUACAUGGACUGACCCAGGGCUCCAACUGCAUACAUAGCAGAGAAUAGCCUUGUUGGGGCACCAGUGGAAGGGGAAGCCCUUGGUCCUGCCAAGGUUGGACCACCAGUGCAGGGGAAUGUCGAAGGGGUCCGGUAAGAGAGGUGGAUGGGGGGAACACCCCUAUGGGGGAGGGGGUAGGAAUGGGAGCUUAUGGACAGGAAACCAGGAAAGGGAAUGCCAUUUGAAAUAUAAGUAAAGAAAUAUAUCUAAUAAAAAUAUUUUAAAA
Molecule: non-coding RNA, 31304 nt
Organism: Rattus norvegicus (Norway rat)
Lineage: Eukaryota; Metazoa; Chordata; Mammalia; Rodentia; Muridae
Source: RefSeq, a predicted model, not a curated record